Molecule: non-coding RNA, 45 nt
Organism: Schistosoma haematobium
Lineage: Eukaryota; Metazoa; Platyhelminthes; Trematoda; Strigeidida; Schistosomatidae
Source: Rfam
AUCAAGUUGACGAGUCCCAAAUAGGACGAAACGUGCAUCAUAGAU